UUUGUUACUUCAAACCAAUCGGACUUCGGUCUGACAUCAAGUGAUAUUGAACAAUUUAGCUGAUCGCACGGUCUAAGAACCGGCGACAUAUCCUUCAAAUGUCUGCCUUAUCAACUUUCGAUGGUAGAUUAUGCGCCUACCAUGGUUGUAACGGGUAACGGAGAAUCAGGGUUUGAUUCCGGAGAGGGGGCCUGAGAAACGGCUACCACAUCCAAGGAAGGCAGCAGGCACGCAAAUUACCCACUCCCGGCACGGGGAGGUAGUGACGAAAAAUAACAAGCUGGUCUCAAUGAGUUCCAGCAUUGUAAUGGGAACAAUUUAAAUCUUUUAUCGAGGAUCUAUUGGAGGGCAAGUCUGGCGCCAGCAGCCACGGUAAUUCCAGCUCCAAUAGCGUAUAUUAAAGUUGUUGCGGUUAAAAAGCUCGUAGUUGGAUUUGUGGUGCGCGCCGUGGCGUCCGAUUUUUCGGUUCUGCCUUGGCCGUGCCAUCUUUGGGUGGAACCUGUGUGGCAUUAGGUUGUCGUGCAGGGGAUGCCCAUCGUUUACUGUGAAAAAAUUAGAGUGUUCAAAGCAGGCUUA
This 576-nucleotide ribosomal RNA is filed under the name uncultured eukaryote. Its description in RNAcentral is "bacterial SSU rRNA". It matches the Rfam family "Eukaryotic small subunit ribosomal RNA", at positions 203 to 788 of the family's 1831-position model. The record is from RNAcentral.